Molecule: signal recognition particle RNA, 100 nt
Filed under: Candidatus Methylomirabilota bacterium
Lineage: Bacteria; Methylomirabilota (SeqCode)
Description: candidate division NC10 bacterium (sediment metagenome) signal recognition particle sRNA small type
Rfam family: Bacterial small signal recognition particle RNA
About the family: The signal recognition particle (SRP) is a universally conserved ribonucleoprotein involved in the co-translational targeting of proteins to membranes. Archaeal SRP consists of a 7S RNA and homologues of the eukaryotic SRP19 and SRP54 proteins.
Source: RNAcentral
GAUCGGGUCUCGCGCAGGGUAGCCCUGUGAACCCCGCCAGGUCCGGAAGGAAGCAACGGUAAGCAGCGAGCGGCCCGUGCCGCGAGGCUACCCGAUCGGA